Molecule: ribosomal RNA, 253 nt
Filed under: uncultured bacterium
Lineage: Bacteria
Description: partial 16S ribosomal RNA
Rfam family: Bacterial small subunit ribosomal RNA
Source: RNAcentral
UACGAAGGGGGCGAGCGUUGUUCGGAGUUACUGGGCGUAAAGGGCGCGUAGGCGGCGAUCCAAGUUAGGCGUGAAAGCCCCGGGCUUAACCUGGGAAUUGCGCUUAAGACUGGACUGCUUGAGUGCGGGAGAGGUGAGUGGAAUUCCCAGUGUAGAGGUGAAAUUCGUAGAUAUUGGGAAGAACACCAGUGGCGAAGGCGGCUCGCUGGCCCGCAACUGACGCUGAGGCGCGAAAGCGUGGGGAGCAAACAGG